This 2084-nucleotide long non-coding RNA is filed under the name Salmo salar (Atlantic salmon). RNAcentral describes it as "lncRNA (ENSSSAG00000116762.1)". The record is from RNAcentral. Lineage: Eukaryota; Metazoa; Chordata; Actinopteri; Salmoniformes; Salmonidae.
AUUCAGUAUGUUUACGAUCAGGGAACUAUCAUCAAUAUCAUUCAGUCUGUUUACGAUCAGGGAACUAUCAUCAAUAUCAUUGUCUGUUUACGAUCAGGGAACUAUCAUCAAUAUCAUUCAGUAUGUUUACGAUCAGGGAACUAUCAUCAAUAUCAUUCAGUCUGUUUACGAUCAGGGAACUAUCAUCAAUAUCAUUCAGUAUGUUUACGAUCAGGGAACUAUCAUCAACAUCAUUCAGUAUGUUUACGAUCAGGGAACUAUCAUCAACAUCAUUCAGUAUGUUUACGAUCAGGGAACUAUCAUCAAUAUCAUUCAGUCUGUUUACGAUCAGGGAACUAUCAUCAAUAUCAUUGUCUGUUUACGAUCAGGGAACUAUCAUCAAUAUCAUUCAGUAUGUUUACGAUCAGGGAACUAUCAUCAAUAUCAUUCAGUCUGUUUACGAUCAGGGAACUAUCAUCAAUAUCAUUGUCUGUUUACGAUCAGGGAACUAUCAUAAAUAUCAUUCAGUCUGUUUACGAUCAGGGAACUAUCAUCAAUAUCAUUCAGUCUGUUUACGAUCAGGGAACUAUCAUCAAUAUCAUUCAGUAUGUUUACGAUCAGGGAACUAUCAUCAAUAUCAUUCAGUAUGUUUACGAUCAGGGAACUAUCAUCAACAUCAUUCAGUAUGUUUACGAUCAGGGAACUAUCAUCAACAUCAUUCAGUAUGUUUACGAUCAGGGAACUAUCAUCAACAUCAUUCAGUAUGUUUACGAUCUCUGUUUACGAUCAGGGAACUAUCAUAAAUAUCAUUCAGUCUGUUUACGAUCAGGGAACUAUCAUCAAUAUCAUUCAGUAUGUUUACGAUCAGGGAACUAUCAUCAAUAUCAUUCAGUAUGUUUACGAUCAGGGAACUAUCAUAAAUAUCAUUCAGUAUGUUUACGAUCAGGGAACUAUCAUCAAUAUCAUUCAGUAUGUUUACGAUCAGGGAACUAUCAUAAAUAUCAUUCAGUAUGUUUACGAUCAGGGAACUAUCAUCAAUAUCAUUCAGUCUGUUUACGAUCAGGGAACUAUCAUCAAUAUCAUUGUCUGUUUACGAUCAGGGAACUAUCAUCAAUAUCAUUCAGUCUGUUUACGAUCAGGGAACUAUCAUCAAUAUCAUUCAGUCUGUUUACGAUCAGGGAACUAUCAUCAACAUCAUUCAGUAUGUUUACGAUCAGGGAACUAUCAUCAAUAUCAUUCAGUAUGUUUACGAUCAGGGAACUAUCAUCAAUAUCAUUCAGUAUGUUUACGAUCAGGGAACUAUCAUCAAUAUCAUUCAGUAUGUUUACGAUCAGGGAACUAUCAUCAACAUCAUUCAGUCUGUUUACGAUCAGGGAACUAUCAUCAACAUCAUUCAGUAUGUUUACGAUCAGGGAACUAUCAUCAACAUCAUUCAGUAUGUUUACGAUCAGGGAACUAUCAUCAACAUCAUUCAGUAUGUUUACGAUCUCUGUUUACGAUCAGGGAACUAUCAUAAAUAUCAUUCAGUAUGUUUACGAUCUCUGUUUACGAUCAGGGAACUAUCAUAAAUAUCAUUCAUUCUGUUUACAAUCAGGGAACUAUCAUAAAUAUCAUUCAGUAAAACACCAGAGGAAGAAGAGGAAUCAUUAUUGAGAUUAAAACAGAGCGGCUAAACUGUUAAACUGCUAAAUGUUUUUAAGUCAAAAAAGGUUAAAUCCUGUAAGUUCAAAGGUAUCAUAAUAAUGCACUGAAAAAGAUGUAAACGAAGAAUUGCGGCACGUCAUGAAUGAAUGGAUAAUGUAUUGUGUUUAAGUUAGUUUCCUGGUUGUGUAGAAGUCUGGAAGACAGGUCUAGAAGAACGUUCAGCAGUGACAGACCUGGCCUAUGAACUUGCUGUAUUCCUGUUUGAUGCAGCUGUACACUGUGUUGUAGAAGUGCCUGUCUGUCGCCAUGAGAUCGGUGACUAUUUCGGUGUGGUCCAUUUUAGGCAUGAGGUACAGGGACACCUUGAUUGAAAGCAAGGUGAGCUGCUCAGAGAACCUCUGGGAAGAUGCCACCGGAACUAUGAUGUCACUCGUUCCGUGCAGCAAGCAGAAAGGUGGCAC